This 57-nucleotide ribosomal RNA is filed under the name Peplonia organensis. Its description in RNAcentral is "partial 26S ribosomal RNA". Lineage: Eukaryota; Viridiplantae; Streptophyta; Magnoliopsida; Gentianales; Apocynaceae. The record is from RNAcentral.
CCCCAGGUCAGGCGGGGCUACCCGCUGAGUUUAAGCAUAUCAAUAAGCGGAGUAAAA